CAGCUGUUUGUCUACAUAUAAGCU
RNAcentral lists this non-coding RNA (24 nucleotides) under Arabidopsis thaliana (thale cress). Lineage: Eukaryota; Viridiplantae; Streptophyta; Magnoliopsida; Brassicales; Brassicaceae. The record is from RNAcentral.